UACACAAGUUUGCCGGCUAAUUCCGUCCGAGAUUGGGACGAAUUAGAAGGUAAAUUUCAUGAACAAUUCUAUAGAACUGAGCCGGAAUUAUCGGUUGCCGAUUUAGCCUAGUUCAAACAAAGGACAGGUGAAUCGGUUGAUGAGUAUCUGAACCGAUUUAAGACGGCUCGGAGCCGUUGUUUUGUGAGAAUGCCAGAGUCGGAAUUUGCCAAAAUGGUAUUUAACGG
Molecule: long non-coding RNA, 227 nt
Filed under: Ananas comosus (pineapple)
Lineage: Eukaryota; Viridiplantae; Streptophyta; Magnoliopsida; Poales; Bromeliaceae
Description: long non-coding RNA (ACOM_LNC022251)
Source: RNAcentral